AGCAGCCGCGGUAAUCCCAGCUCCAAUAGCGUAUAUUAAAGUUGUUGCAGUUAAAAGCUCGUAGUUGAACUUCGGGGUUUACCCAUUGGUCAGGCUUAAUUGUCUGUACUGGUGAGAUGAAUCUCUACCUUCUGAGGAACUUUCAUGCCAUUUAUUUGGUGUGAUGGGAAAUCAGGACUGUUACUUUGAAAAAUUAGAGUGUUUAAAGCAGGCUAACGUCUGAAUACAUUAGCAUGGAAUAAUGAAAUAGGACGGACUGAUUCUAUUUCGUUGGUUUCUAGGAUCACCGUAAUGAUUAAUAGGGAUAGUUGGGGGCAUUAGUAUUCAAUUGUCAGAGUGAAAUUCUGGAUUAUUGAAGACUAACUACUGCGAAAGCAUUUGCCAAGGAUGUUUUCAUUAANCAAGAACGAAAGUUAGGGGAUCGAAGACGAUCAGAUACCGUCGUAGUCUUAACCAUAAACUAUGCCGACUAGGGAUCGGACGAAGUUAAUUUUAUAAUGACGCGUUCGGCACCUUACGG
Molecule: unclassified non-coding RNA, 520 nt
Filed under: uncultured Glomus
Lineage: Eukaryota; Fungi; Glomeromycota; Glomeromycetes; Glomerales; Glomeraceae
Description: SSU rRNA
Rfam family: Eukaryotic small subunit ribosomal RNA
Source: RNAcentral